This 253-nucleotide ribosomal RNA is filed under the name uncultured bacterium. RNAcentral describes it as "partial 16S ribosomal RNA". It matches the Rfam family "Bacterial small subunit ribosomal RNA", at positions 524 to 776 of the family's 1533-position model. The record is from RNAcentral.
UACGUAGGGUGCGAGCGUUAAUCGGAAUUACUGGGCGUAAAGCGUGCGCAGGCGGUUCGUUAAGUCAGAUGUGAAAGCCCCGGGCUCAACCUGGGAACUGCAUUUGAAACUGGCGGGCUUGAGUAUGGCAGAGGGGGGUGGAAUUCCGCGUGUAGCAGUGAAAUGCGUAGAGAUGCGGAGGAACACCGAUGGCGAAGGCAGCCCCCUGGGCCAACACUGACGCUCAUGCACGAAAACGUGGGGAGCAAACAGG